GAGAGGCGGAGAAAGGAAGUCGGAAAACAGAUUUAAACCAACGUUUAAACCAAUGCAUCUGUUUGUCAGUCCUGUGAGAGAACGCCGUUACCGGAGAGAUCUGGAAGCUAAAACAAACUGGAGCUGCUUUUUGUCCAACACGAGUGAGACUGGACGGUGAACACACCUGUGAAGGUUGACUGGUUGAGCUGCUGCAGCCUGGACACAAACACCUGCUCUCACCUGACAAACCAAACAGGUGUCACCACUUCAUCCACGAUCACAGAGAGUCUUCGUACAGUGAAGAAGUUCUGUGAGACCAGGACAGAGGCCUCCAGGUGAUGCGGUCUCCUCCUCCUCCAGCUGAGACGGAGCAUGUUCAUCACAGAUACUGUCCAAAGCUUCAAGUCCUGCAACUUUAUUACAAAUAUAUAUGAAGAAGGAAAAGACAGCUCUCACAUAUGAUGCGGUCUCCUUCUCCUGCAGAGACAGAGCAUGUUCAUCACAGAAACUGCCCAGAGCUUCAAGUCCUGCAACUUUAUUACAAAUAUAAUUAAAGAAGGAAAAGACAUUUCUUAUAUACAGUGACAUUUUGGACCGUUUUUGACACCUCACUAUAAGAAAAUAUUUCAAAGCAGCUGUCUUACCUUGAUUUCCACAGACACACACAUAUUCACAGACUCACAUCUCUACACAGCGUUUGCAGUUUAGGUUAGAUUUUCUGUUAGUCAUUACAUUUUGGUAUUAUGCCACUUUGAACAGUGUAUUAUGUGAACACAGUUCUGUUUAUACUGUUCAGAUGUUUAUAUUUUUUGUAUAUUGUUAUAUACUAUCUUGUUUAAUAUUUUGUCUUGUUUAUAUCAUGCCUUUUUCUAUUUUUUCAGUUGCAACACUGAAUUUCUCCACUGGGGAACUAAUAAAGAAUUGUCUUACUUAAAUAUGUCUGAAUACUGAAUAUUUUGUUGGUCUGUUUAAUAUUGUAUGAAAGUGAAUAUUUUCAGCCAGGGGCCACUUCUAGCUGGAGGUUAGGGUUAGGGUUAUGGCUUUUAGCCACUUUUAGCCAGAAGUUAGGAUUAGGGUUAGGG
This is a long non-coding RNA of Lates calcarifer (barramundi perch), 1064 nucleotides long. RefSeq lists it as uncharacterized. NCBI's taxonomy places the organism in Eukaryota, Metazoa, Chordata, Actinopteri, Centropomidae. The transcript is spliced from 7 exons. The record is from RefSeq and is a predicted model, not a curated record.